Molecule: non-coding RNA, 27 nt
Filed under: Bombyx mori (domestic silkworm)
Lineage: Eukaryota; Metazoa; Arthropoda; Insecta; Lepidoptera; Bombycidae
Source: RNAcentral
UCUCCAUAGUGUGUUGGGCCCAAGAUG